RNAcentral lists this ribosomal RNA (267 nucleotides) under uncultured bacterium. RNAcentral's name for it is "partial 16S ribosomal RNA". It matches the Rfam family "Bacterial small subunit ribosomal RNA", at positions 526 to 779 of the family's 1533-position model. The record is from RNAcentral.
CGGAGGGGGGUUAGCGUUGUUCGGAAUGACUGGGGCGUAAAAGCGCGCGUAGGCGGAUCGCAAAAGUUGGGGGGUGAAAAGCCCCAGGGGCUCAACCCCUGGGAAUUGCCUUCAAGACUCGCGGUCUGGAGUUCGAGAGAGGUGGGUGGAAUUCCGAGUGUAGAGGUGAAAUUCGUAGAUAUUCGGAGGAACACCAGUGGCGAAAGGCGGCCCACUGGCUCGACACUGACGCUGAGGCGCGAAAAGCGCGGGGAGCAAAACAGGAUU